AUGUUUAAAAUUUUUAAAUAAUUAUAAAAAAAAAUAAUAUAAGAGUAUUUUGGGAUAGUUAUAAAAGUGUUUUAAAAUAAUUAAAGAAUUAAAUUUAAUAUAAUUAUAAUAGUAUUUUGGAUAAAGUAGUUACGAUUAAGAUCUUAUAUACAUGCCCUGCCGACGCUCGCUUGCAGAUGUCUCCGUCACCAUUGCUCGCGGCCGUCGACUUUUCCGUCGGACGAGUCUCUCCACCGAGCAAGGUCUAUAAUCGACGAGAUUAUGGUUCGGUGUGCAGAUCUGGUACGGCAACAGCUAACUUCCUGAAAUUUUAAAUUUUAAUUUUGUAAUUUUAGGUUUUAUGUGCUUUAUGAGUGUCUUUCUUUCUUCAUGCUGAGUUUAAGAAAUUUUUUGGAUUAUUGCAAUAAUGAUACUUUUGCUUCUUUGCAAUUUACUUUAACACCAAUGAGUUUCGGAGCCAGACUGCAUGACGGUGCUUCCAAUAGUAGGGCGGAAAAUGGAAAAUGAAAAGUGUUAAAAGUGGGAAAAAGGCAGAUCCUAAAACCUCAUAAAUGUUCUGUUUCGUACUUUGUAUCAACUUUAGUGUCAGGCUGUCUACUACCUCAAAAAUUGUAGUUAUUGAGGGAAUGAACCAAUAGCCUCUCUUGUGUUUUGUGACUUUUGUUCGAUGAAUCUGUUUCAUCUGCAAGAUGGUAAGUUGAGGACAUGAUUUUUUUUCUUGAUAAAAGAUGAAAUUUAUAAGAAAAAUUGAGGGCUUGACUUGUGCUCUUUUUUCAGAGCACAAAUAGAGCACAGCA
Long non-coding RNA from Malania oleifera, 797 nucleotides. RefSeq lists it as uncharacterized. The record is from RefSeq and is a predicted model, not a curated record. NCBI's taxonomy places the organism in Eukaryota, Viridiplantae, Streptophyta, Magnoliopsida, Santalales, Ximeniaceae. The transcript is spliced from 2 exons.